Non-coding RNA from Equus caballus (horse), 1375 nucleotides. NCBI's taxonomy places the organism in Eukaryota, Metazoa, Chordata, Mammalia, Perissodactyla, Equidae. The record is from RefSeq and is a predicted model, not a curated record.
GGCAGAGGGUGUGACAUCUCUGAGGUGCCAUUAUUAAGAACUGCAGGAUGGGCCUUUGCCACCCCUAGAGACUGCUUUGAAAACUAGAAUUCCACCACUUGAAAUCCAGAAUCCCAUCAUUGGAAAUCCACUCCCUUGGGUUCCUCUUUUAAAUGCAGACUGUACUGGUGCUGUUCCAGCCUCCCCAGCUACAAUAGGAAGGGCACGCAACUCUGUGAAGCGAGUAUUGGCCAAUACUGCCCCCUUGUGGUCAAGCUUGUCCUUACUGGAGGCUUUCAGCCCAAGAGUUUUUCGAGAUUCCUGCUCCUGGGCAUUUGCAGAAUUAUCAGAAGGUUAUCUCAGAAAAGCUGAACCCACAAGACCCUUGGGAGGGGUUCCAGCUGCAGAGAAUGCCUGGUGACAACCCAAAUCCGCAAAAGUGGCCUUGUGGAGGUCUGCGUUCCAGGGAGGAGGUUAAGGUGACUAGAGGCAUCUGGCUAGAUCGAAGUCUCCAGAGGGGAGCCAAGCCCACGGGAAAGGAUUAAGUGCCUCUGGCUGUACUUGAGGGGCUGUCAUUUCAGACCUGUGUUUAGAUUUUUACAAGAUUCCAUGUAAGACCUGAGCUUGGCAAAUUCUGAAAGAGCUCAGCUUGUGUUUCUUCUCUGCUGGACCCUGUCUGGCUCUAUCCCCUCGGACAGCUUGGGCUGCUCCUUCCCCGAGCUCACCCACCUGCUCCGAGCCUUGGAGGAAUGUCCCUGCCAAGAAACGGAGCUGCCGCUGGAGCUGCUGUCCUGAGAGGGGUCCGUCCACUGAGUCACUCCACGUUGUGGGGGCUGAUGGUGGCUCGACGAGUCACUCUUCCCAGGCAUAUUUGCCUGGGACGAGUAUGAAGGCCUCUCCUCCCAAAUGAUGGAAUUUUAAGCGCAGAAGCAGAAUAAUGGGAGAGAUGGCUGGGAGUUUGGAAAAGCUUCCCACAACCCCUCAUUGCGCCCCAGGCGAGGAACACCCCAUCAGCUUAAAAUCCAAGUGCUUGAGGUGAGACCAUCCUUAAAAACCCACAUGUGGGCCAUGGCUAAGCUGUCCAUCCGCCUUUGCUGGUUAAGAGGCUGCUUUCAUCAUGCGCAGGAUCAAAACUGGUUCACUCUGGCAGGGACUGGGCCAGCACCCACGUCUUGCCUGCAGUUCAGAGGCAGUUUUGACGUGGUUUUGCUUUCAGGUGUCACCUUAGAGCAGAGUUUCUCAGAAAGCCAGUUCUAAGGGAGGCACCUGAAGAGCAAGUUUCCAUGACUCCGUAAGUCUGGGCAGCAGUGCACCGCAUGCCUCCUGCUAGAAAGCCCCAUUCACACCAGCACGUGAAAGGCCUGGAAAGUCUAGCCCCGAGGAGCCCGCGUACUGC